RNAcentral lists this ribosomal RNA (253 nucleotides) under uncultured bacterium. Its description in RNAcentral is "partial 16S ribosomal RNA". It matches the Rfam family "Bacterial small subunit ribosomal RNA", at positions 524 to 776 of the family's 1533-position model. The record is from RNAcentral.
UACGGAGGGAGCUAGCGUUGUUCGGAAUUACUGGGCGUAAAGCGCACGUAGGCGGCUAUUCAAGUCAGAGGUGAAAGCCCGGGGCUCAACCCCGGAACUGCCCUUGAAACUGGGAAGCUAGAAUCUUGGAGAGGCGAGUGGAAUUCCGAGUGUAGAGGUGAAAUUCGUAGAUAUUCGGAAGAACACCAGUGGCGAAGGCGACUCGCUGGACAAGUAUUGACGCUGAGGUGCGAAAGCGUGGGGAGCAAACAGG